This 483-nucleotide ribosomal RNA is filed under the name uncultured bacterium. RNAcentral describes it as "partial 16S ribosomal RNA". It matches the Rfam family "Bacterial small subunit ribosomal RNA", at positions 28 to 523 of the family's 1533-position model. The record is from RNAcentral.
GACGAACGCUGGCGGCGUGCUUAACACAUGCAAGUCGAACGAUGAAGCUGGAGCUUGCUCCGGUGGAUUAGUGGCGAACGGGUGAGUAACACGUGAGCAAUCUGCCCUUCACUCUGGGAUAACUGCGGGAAACUGUAGCUAAUACCGGAUACGAGACCUUGGGGCAUCCCAGGGUCUGGAAAGAAUUUCGGUGAAGGAUGAGCUCGCGGCCUAUCAGCUAGUUGGUGAGGUAAUGGCUCACCAAGGCGACGACGGGUAGCCGGCCUGAGAGGGUGACAGGCCACACUGGGACUGAGACACGGCCCAGACUCCUGCGGGAGGCAGCAGUGGGGAAUAUUGCACAAUGGGCGAAAGCCUGAUGCAGCAACGCGGCGUGAGGGAUGAAGGCCUUCGGGUUGUAAACCUCUUUUAGUAGGGAAGAAGCGCAAGUGACGGUACCUACAGAAAAAGCACCGGCUAACUACGUGCCAGCCGCCGCAGUAA